GAGUUGAGCUGAGUUGUGGUAGAAGUGACCUGCUUAGAAGGAUGAAGUAUGUGAACUACUUUACAUGGAAGAAUAUCUAGAUCUUGUAGUUUCUGCAGAGUCUGAGGUUAACAAGAGCUGAGACGUUGAACUACGUCGGUGUUUCUAAAUUUAUUCAGCUGACAUAGUCUAAAAGUAAAAAAAACCCAACCAAACAAAAAACAACCCAAAAGAAAAUAAAACAGCUCAUAAAUUUUAUCCUCAAUUCUAAAAUCUCCACACCCCCAAAUCAAGUAUUAUUUAGUGUCAAUAUUCAUAAUAGACUGCAGAAUAUUGUCCUAGAUCCCACUGAGAGUUACUUCAUAUAUGGCAAACAUAUUACCUUCCUAAAAUAUGAAAAGCUCUGAAAUACAUUUGACUGCAAAGGUUUUGCAUAAGGGGUUAUGACCUGCAAUACAAAUUCUGAUGAUAGCAAAGCUAUGGCCACUGCUAGCUUGGGACUCACCCAGCCCUCUCUAGGGCAUCACAUCCUCGAAAAGCCCUUAUGUGACUAUGGAUGAGCAUAAUCAGUUUGAGUCAAGCAGAACAGAUCGGGGGAAUUUCUUCUAAAUCAGUCCUCCUCCCAUUUUGCUAUGUGUCUAGAUCUGCUAAGGAUCUUGUGAAAGUAUACAUUUUGCCUCAAUAGUUCUAAAAAAAAAAUUUGGAGAGUCUGUGCUUCUGUAAACCUCCAGGUGAUGCCUACAUUGCUGGAACUGUCCUAAAAUUCUGGACAGGCCUCAGACAAAACUGCAAAGGCUGUGAUUGAUAAGCGAUGACAAUGUAGUGGCCCUCAGGGAGAGUGGCCCCUUGCCCCUGGCUGGAGCUUGCUAAAUACUGUCGCCUAUUCAGAACUUGCCUCAUCACUGACUUUUUUAGAUCUAUCCUCCCUUUCUGGGAAUGAAGAGAGAGAAAGCAAGAGCUUCUUCCCAGACGGUUCAUCCCACCCCUCUGAUCCCCACCUUGGCGGGGCUCCAAGGAGUCUCAUGACUCUGCUCAUCCAGUCCCAAGGUACUGCUUAGGCGAGGUGCUUUUCCAGUUGGCUGACUUCAGCCCCCCCACAAGCAUGAAGUCAGUUAGUUCAACUCUCAAAUUCCUGAGAUGCCUCUCUAUCUCUCUUGGGUAUCUCUCCAGAAAAUUUUCCACUGUUUGCAAAGGACUCGUUGGCUCUGACCACCCACAGACGCUACAAUGAUGCGUUUACUUACUAGACGAUCAGUGACCCAGAAAAAGGCCAUGGCUUGUUUUGUGUUUAUUUCACUGUUUGCAAUUCCUUGGCUGAUCCCUUACCCAUCUCACCUGCUUACCUAUUCAAGUUUUGGAUUCCCUGGCUGCAGAAAACUCAAACUUACCUUAGUAAGUCAAUUUGCUUUCUAUAAAGGUGAAGUAUACUAAUUUGAAAAUUCAGAAAAUGCAGAUAGCAAGGAAGAACAUGAUGUCCAUUGCCCAGAGAUAACCAUAGUAACACUGAUCUGGUCUUUAGUCCCACUUUAUGAAACCUGGCUCAUACAGUCUAUACUAUUAUGGAAACUGCUUCCCCGCUCCUUAUGUAAUAUGCAGUGGCCAUUUUUACAUAGAAAAAGAGGGAAACUCUGAGAAAGAGGGAAACUUUGAGAAACCAAGGCUCUCAGAGGAGGAAGGGUCAGAGGUCCUCUGCCUUCCUGUCAAGGCCAGGCUGUGCAUGGGUCCAGGCAGUCACCACAGAGGGGCGUGAGCAGUCCCAGCCCCACACAGAGGCCUGCAAGGGUGAGUGGACUUCACCCCACCAGUGAAAGAACAAGAGUG
Molecule: long non-coding RNA, 1800 nt
Organism: Chinchilla lanigera (long-tailed chinchilla)
Lineage: Eukaryota; Metazoa; Chordata; Mammalia; Rodentia; Chinchillidae
Exons: 3
Source: RefSeq, a predicted model, not a curated record